CUCAACUUGAGAGUUUGAUCCUGGCUCAGAACGAACGCUGGCGGCAGGCUUAACACAUGCAAGUCGAGCGCCCCGCAAGGGGAGCGGCAGACGGGUGAGUAACACGUGGGAAUCUACCCAUCCCUACGGAACAACUCCGGGAAACUGGAGCUAAUACCGUAUACGCCCUUUGGGGGAAAGAUUUAUCGGGGAUGGAUGAGCCCGCGUUGGAUUAGCUAGUUGGUGGGGUAAAGGCCUACCAAGGC
Molecule: ribosomal RNA, 245 nt
Filed under: Rhizobium sp. NFR07
Lineage: Bacteria; Pseudomonadati; Pseudomonadota; Alphaproteobacteria; Hyphomicrobiales; Rhizobiaceae
Description: 16S rRNA. Bacterial SSU
Rfam family: Bacterial small subunit ribosomal RNA
Source: RNAcentral